GGAGUUAGCCGGUGCUUCUUCUGUGAGUGAUGUCCUUCCUGCCGGCUAUUAACCCGCAGGCCUUCUUCCUCACUGAAAGUGCUUUACAACCCGAAGGCCUUCUUCACACACGCGGCAUGGCUGGAUCAGGGUUGCCCCCAUUGUCCAAUAUUCCCCACUGCUGCCUCCCGUAGGAGUCUGGGCCGUGUCUCAGUCCCAGUGUGGCUGAUCAUCCUCUCAGACCAGCUACGGAUCGUCGCCUUGGUGAGCCGUUACCUCACCAACCAGCUAAUCCGACAUAGGCUCAUCCGAUAGCGCGAGGCCCGAAGGUCCCCCGNUUUCCCCCGUAGGGCGUAUGCGGUAUUAGCCUGGGUUUCCCCAGGUUAUCCCCCACUACCGGGCAGAUUCCUAUGCAUUACUCACCCGUCCGCCGCUCGCCACCAGGGAGCAAGCUCCCCGUGCUGCCGCUCGACUUGCAUGUGUUAGGCCUGCCGCCACGCGUCAUCUGAGCAGAUACAACUACUGA
Molecule: ribosomal RNA, 505 nt
Filed under: uncultured bacterium
Lineage: Bacteria
Description: partial 16S ribosomal RNA
Source: RNAcentral